GAUGAAGAACGCAGCGAAAUGCGAUAAGUAAUGUGAAUUGCAGAAUUCAGUGAAUCAUCGAAUCUUUGAACGCACAUUGCGCCCCUUGGUAUUCCGAGGGGCAUGCCUGUUCGAGCGUCAUUAUCACCCCUCAAGCUCCGCUUGGUGUUGGGCGUCUGUCCCGCUUCGCGCGCGGACUCGCCCCAAAGGUAUUGGCAGCGGUCGUGCCAGCUUCUCGCGCAGCACAUUGCGCUUCUCGAGGCACCGGUGGGCCCGCGUCCAUCAAGCUCACCCCCCCAGUUUGACCUCGGAUCAGGUAGGGAUACCCGCUGAACUUAAGCAUAUCAAUAAGCGGAGGA
This 338-nucleotide unclassified non-coding RNA is filed under the name soil metagenome. RNAcentral's name for it is "partial contains 5.8S ribosomal RNA, internal transcribed spacer 2, and large subunit ribosomal RNA". The stretch from base 1 to 120 matches the Rfam family "5.8S ribosomal RNA", at positions 35 to 154 of the family's 154-position model. The record is from RNAcentral.